AGUGAACGCUGGCGGUAGGCCUAACACAUGCAAGUCGAACGGCAGCACAGUAAGAGCUUGCUCUUACGGGUGGCGAGUGGCGGACGGGUGAGGAAUACAUCGGAAUCUACUUUUUCGUGGGGGAUAACGUAGGGAAACUUACGCUAAUACCGCAUACGACCUACGGGUGAAAGCAGGGGAUCUUCGGACCUUGCGCGAUUGAAUGAGCCGAUGUCGGAUUAGCUAGUUGGCGGGGUAAAGGCCCACCAAGGCGACGAUCCGUAGCUGGUCUGAGAGGAUGAUAAGCCACACUGGAACUGAGACACGGUCCAGACUCCUACGGGAGGCAGCAGUGGGGAAUAUUGGACAAUGGGCACAAGCCUGAUCCAGCCAUACCGCGUGGGUGAAGAAGGCCUUCGGGUUGUAAAGCCCUUUUGUUGGGAAAGAAAAGCAGCAGGUUAAUACCCCGCUGUUCUGACGGUACCCAAAGAAUAAGCACCGGCUAACUUCGUG
This 492-nucleotide ribosomal RNA is filed under the name uncultured bacterium. Its description in RNAcentral is "partial 16S ribosomal RNA". It matches the Rfam family "Bacterial small subunit ribosomal RNA", at positions 29 to 507 of the family's 1533-position model. The record is from RNAcentral.